This 468-nucleotide ribosomal RNA is filed under the name uncultured bacterium. RNAcentral's name for it is "partial 16S ribosomal RNA". It matches the Rfam family "Bacterial small subunit ribosomal RNA", at positions 28 to 507 of the family's 1533-position model. The record is from RNAcentral.
GACGAACGCUGGCGGCGUGCCUAAUACAUGCAAGUCGAACGGAAAGACCCUGCUCUUGCGGGGUUCUCGAUAGGCGAAGGGGGGAGUAACACGCGAGUAUCAUGUCCCUGACAGUGGGAGAACAUUAGGAGACUGGGGCGCAAACACCAUAUGAUCUCCUGCUGCGCGUUGGGGGUUGGUAAGUUUCGGCGGUUGGGGAUGGAUUCGCUGCUUAUCAGCUUGUUUGGGUAGUAGUUGCGUACGAGGGUUAUGACGGGUAGGCGGCCUGAGAGGGUGACCGGGCACAUGGGGACUGAGGUACGGCGCAGAAGCCUACGGGAGGCAGCAGGGGGGAGUAUUGCGCAGUGGGCGGAAGCCAGAUGCAGCGACGCUGCGUGCGUGAUGACGUCCUUCGGGUGGUAAACCGCUUUCGACUGUGAUGAGGAGGGAGUGACGGUAAUGGGUAAAAAAGCACCGGCUAACUACGUG